This is a small nucleolar RNA of Arachis duranensis, 104 nucleotides long. The record is from RefSeq and is a predicted model, not a curated record. Lineage: Eukaryota; Viridiplantae; Streptophyta; Magnoliopsida; Fabales; Fabaceae.
AUGUCAGAAGGACACCUUCUAAUCAAUUACUUAUAUCUUUCCCAAGCUUCAUAGAGGGAUUUACCUUCCUUCUGUUUGAAGGUUUAAACUUUCACUCUAAGCUU